AUUGAACGCUGGCGGCAGGCUUAACACAUGCAAGUCGAGCGAGCGGCGGACGGGUGAGUAAUGUCUGGGAAACUGCCUGAUGGAGGGGGAUAACUACUGGACACGGUAGCUAAUACAGCAUACCAUCAGAUGUGCCCAGAUGGGAUUAGCUAGUAGGUGAGGUAAUGGCUCACCUAGGCGACGAGCCCUAGCUGGGCUGAGAGGAUGACCAGCCACACUGGGACUGAGACACGGUCCAGACUCCUACGGGAGGGAGCAGUGGGGAAUAUUGCACAAGUGGCGCAAGCCUGAUGCAGCCAUGCCGCGUGUGUGAAGGAGGCCUGCGGGUUAUAAAGCACGUGCAGGAGGGAGGCGUUACUCGCAGAAGAAGCACGGGCUAACUCCGUGCCAGCAGCCGCGGUAAUUC
RNAcentral lists this ribosomal RNA (406 nucleotides) under uncultured bacterium. Its description in RNAcentral is "partial 16S ribosomal RNA". It matches the Rfam family "Bacterial small subunit ribosomal RNA", at positions 29 to 526 of the family's 1533-position model. The record is from RNAcentral.